RNAcentral lists this long non-coding RNA (2038 nucleotides) under Capsicum annuum. RNAcentral's name for it is "long non-coding RNA (CANN_LNC010820)". The record is from RNAcentral. Lineage: Eukaryota; Viridiplantae; Streptophyta; Magnoliopsida; Solanales; Solanaceae.
UUGCCCUUUAUGCAAUUGUAUACCAGCUGUAUACAGCCACGUUUUACCCAGCAUUUUUUGUAUAUAUUCUGUAUAUCCGCAUAUAAAAAUCCAUGUACAAGCUUCCAGUGUCAUUAUGCAAUCAUACACCGGUGUAUACCGACUACCUCCGACCUGGGAACCUCGUAUAUCAGGAGUAUACCAAUUUAUACCAGUUUCGCUUCUUCAAAAAUAAAGACAUUUGGGACUUGUAGAGGAUGUAGGCCUCUUUGGCCUAUUGAGAAACGCAGGGAAUGGAGUCCGUUGGGACUCAAGUCAACGUCACAUGCAUUAAGAAAAAUAUAAGAAUUAGCGUGUAUUUAAAUAGUAUUACAAAUUAUACAACAAUAGGCGAAAACCAUUCAAACCAAGUGUCAGUAUUAAUUAGUAAGACAAUUGAAAUGGGAAUGUGAUAUGGCAGUAAAAAAGACUUAUCCCAACAUUAUACUAAUGCACCAUAAAAAAUGCUCACCAAGCCACCAACUAACAACUUUCCCAAUACAAAAACUUAAUAGAGGAAAAAUGCUUAAAUAAUGGCGGGACAUUAUAACGGUCCAAAUACGAUAUUCCCUAGUGAAUUUGCUGUCUAAAAAAUAUUAUAGGAAAUUAUUGACCUAGGCCAUUACUUAAUAAUUAGCUUCUUUCCUCCUAGCUCCAUAUUCAAAAUAUAGACCACAAAAUAUCCCAAAGAUUUGCAAGAAUAACUUGAGCAUCCUUUUAGUGCUCUGUCUUUUUCCUUCUCAUUAACAAUUAUUAUCAAAAUAGCAAUUUUUAAAAAUGGACAAGCAGACUUCUCUCGGAAAAGAUAUGGAUGUGUCGGCCUUUGACUAAACAUGCAAAACAAACCCAUGACCACUUCGUCAGCUAAAUCUAGAUACAAACAAUACCAACAAAGCAAAGGACAACGAUAAGCAUAAUACAAAGUGAAAGAUUAAAUUGUUAUGACCUAUAUGGCUGCAGGGAUCACAUAAUUACAACAACAAACCCUAAUAGAACACAUAUGGAUGCAAGCAUACUAAAUAUUGGAAAAGAACCAACUUGAUGACAGAGGCGGAUCCAGAAUUUCAAACUUGUGGAUUUCCAAGCCUUUUCUAUCACUAAGCUAUACCUUGGUUUAGUUAUGGGUUCCCACCUAUUAAUAUUUAUAAAUUUUGACGAUUUUUUUUAUGUAAUUUUAAGCCUUACUGUAGCAGGUGUAGGUUCUACUCUACAUCCGCCACUGCUUGAUGACAUCGUUUUCCAAAAUUUGAAAGCUGAAACAGUGACCUUAGGGGGCCUGAACAAGAAUCGUGAGAUCAAGAACAACAAGAAUAUCAUCGCUAAACAUUAUCCACAAUUUCAUCACAACAACCUAUAACUUUGGAAGGUGUCUCAUACUACGACUACUUAUGAAAAUAGAUAUUAACGCCAAGAAGGAGAAGAAGAAAAACUAAGAUGUGUUUACCUUUUCCCGGGCAGCGAACGGGACGACAAGCCUAUGACGAUGAAGUUUUCACCACCGAAUUUUAACUCGAUUUCACCAGAAUUUUGGGUGCAUGAGGUUAGAGACACGCGCCUCCAGAACCCCAAUUUUUCUCCAAAAAAUCCUCCUCUCCCUUCACUCUACAGACAUGGGUAAUUAUGGGGGAUUUGACACUGAUUUUGGAGGAAAACGGAGGGGUAAAAAGGAAAAAUGAAUUGAGAUUUGAAUUUCAAAAUUUGAGAUAGGUUUGACCUGGAAUUGGAACCUUGUUUGCUGUGUUGUUUUUGCCGUUGUUGUACUGUUAUUGCGUUUAAAUUGAGCUGUUGUUGUUGUCCGUCAUUAAUGUUGUUGUCAGUUGUUGCUGAGCUGGACGGGUCAGGUCGGAGCUGGUCGGCUGAAGCUGGGUUUUUGGUUGUUAUUCGUUGAAAUUGUCGUUGAUGAACGGGAAAAGUAUUUUGUCGCUGAUGAUACUGAGUUGUUGAUGUUGAAGACGUUGAAAUUGUUGGUGUUAACGUUGUUGUCUGUUGUUGUAGCUGUACGCUGAAUUGGAGUGUACAG